RNAcentral lists this ribosomal RNA (253 nucleotides) under uncultured bacterium. RNAcentral describes it as "partial 16S ribosomal RNA". It matches the Rfam family "Bacterial small subunit ribosomal RNA", at positions 524 to 776 of the family's 1533-position model. The record is from RNAcentral.
GACGAGCCUCACGAACGUUAUUCGGAAUUACUGGGCUUAAAGGGUGCGUAGGCGGUCGGGUAAGUCUGACGUGAAAUCUUCAAGCUCAACUUGGAAACUGCGUCGGAUACUAUUCGGCUAGAGGAAUGGAGGGGAGACUGGAAUACUUGGUGUAGCAGUGAAAUGCGUAGAUAUCAAGUGGAACACCAGUGGCGAAGGCGAGUCUCUGGACAUUUCCUGACGCUGAGGCACGAAAGCCAGGGGAGCAAACGGG